GACGUAGGAUGCAAGCGUUGUCCGGAUUUAUUGGGCGUAAAGAGUUCGUAGGUGGUUUGUUAAGUCUGAUGUUAAAGCCUGGGGCUCAACCUCGGAAAUGCAUUGGAUACUGGCAGACUUGAGUGUGGUAGAGGCAAUCGGAAUUCCAGGCGUAGCGGUGAAAUGCGUAGAUAUCUGGAAGAACACCGGUGGCGCAAGCGGAUUGCUGGGCCAUAACUGACACUGAGGAACGAAAGCUAGGGGAGCAAAUGGG
RNAcentral lists this ribosomal RNA (253 nucleotides) under uncultured bacterium. RNAcentral describes it as "partial 16S ribosomal RNA". It matches the Rfam family "Bacterial small subunit ribosomal RNA", at positions 524 to 776 of the family's 1533-position model. The record is from RNAcentral.